Long non-coding RNA from Chinchilla lanigera (long-tailed chinchilla), 10739 nucleotides. RefSeq lists it as uncharacterized. The transcript has 3 exons. NCBI's taxonomy places the organism in Eukaryota, Metazoa, Chordata, Mammalia, Rodentia, Chinchillidae. The record is from RefSeq and is a predicted model, not a curated record.
GGAAUGUAGCUCAGUGUAAACACCCUGGGUUCAAUUCCCAGUACUGCAUAAAUAAUAAAUGAGUACUAAAAGAACUAUUUGUUAAGCAGAUGAGGGUAGCAGAUGUUUCUUGAACUGUAGAGAAGGAUCCCUCGGCACACAGCCCAGGAUACCUGGUGAAGAGAGGGCCCCUUUGGCCUGUGAAAAGUUUGGGACAAGACCUCCAGGUUUCAGAGGUUUGGAAAAAGCCACCCCACUCACGGAAGAGUAUCAAGCUGUUGGCACCAGGCGGCCCAGGGAAACCCUGCACCUUUGCCUAGGAGCCAGGAAGGGUCUGGCCCUAUGGCUCUGUGACCUUGGCCUAUGGUGUCUGUCAGGCUGCUGGGAGAGGGAGUGGGACAGUUACUGCUCAUUCGCUCUGUCUGGAGCUGCUCCAGGUGCGUGGCCUGCUUUUAUACAGUCCUAGUUUGGAACUGUCUUUAUUUGAUAGGUGCAGAGAGUAAGUCUGGGACCUGUCUGAGAGCACAGUCUUUGUUGUUGUAGAACUGGGAUUGCAACUGGGGCCUUUGUACAGAGGUACAAGCCCAGCCUUUUUAUUUUUUUAAAUUUUGAGACAGGAAAAAAAAAAUUUUUUUGAGACAUAGAGGGUCUCACAAAGUCACUAAGUGGCCCAGGCUGGGCUGGAACUUUUGGUCCUCCUGCCUUGAAAGGCGCAGCACCAGGAAUCAAAUGCAGAUUUGUCUCCCCCAGAGCCUGUGUUUUUACCCCCUGCACCCCAAGGCCAGCCAGAAGGCAGGGCCCCUGGGCGGGGAGCCCAGGGAAGGCUUCCCCAGGAGCAGGCCCCAGCCAGGCCUCGGGCUGAGCCGGGAAGAGGGCGUGGCGAAGGCCGGGGCAAAAACCACCCAAAGGGGAGUCUCAGCAAGGGCCUUGCCCGGUGCAGGUUCACAGGAAGGCGGGGGUAGACUGGGGAGACUGUGGGGAAACCCAGGGUGACUAAGGCGCCCAGCAAGACCAAAUGACUUGGGGACCAGCUGGAACACGAGACACAUGCAGAUAACCCCAGGAGACAGUGUGCUGGACGGCGGGACGAGAGCUCCGGGCCCAGGUUGUGCCCAUUCAGCCUUGGCAGUGCUCAGACCUCUGCUCGCUCUUCUACAGGAGGCCGAAGAAUCUGCUGCCACGAGAGUGGUCCAGGAGGCAGAGGAGGCUGUUAAGAAGCUCCGGGGUCCAGCGGGGUUCCUCAGGGCCGUGUUCAGUGAAUGAGGGACCUAAGGCAGAGAUGCUUCAAGGAGACAACAGGCUGGGGCCAGGAUGUCACCUCAUGACUGUGACUACACAGGCUUCCUCAGUUGCUUGUUUUUCCCACAACCACCUCUGUUCUCCUGCUUCCCCGAGACCACCCCAACAGUCCUCAGCAGGCCUCCUGUGUGCAGUAACUAUGCAGAUUCAGAGAGCAAACUGGUGACUGCCUGUCGGACUUUCCCUGCUGGAGUUCCCCUGCCUUCGUGAUGAUGGCAGAAUGGCACAGUGACACAGGCGCAGCUGACUGGGAGGAGGGACGGCUCUGACUCAGCAGCAGAUCUCCCCGGGCUCCGCGUGGAAGUGGCCCAGUGAAAGGGGGUGCGAUGUGGAUGUUUCCAUAAGAGUCUGAGCCUGGGCUCCCCGCAAGUUCGGUCGUCUCAGCACAGUUCCCUGAGUCAGGGGAGGCCACCUGAGCUGCAUCCUGGGGAGGAUUCCCCUGGCAGUGCCUCGGAAGAUGAAAGAUGCCCAAGGAACAAGGAUAGUCCCGGCCCCGAGCAGCGGUCCUGGGAUACAUGGCCUUGGCCAACAAGAGAGCUGGGGCAUCUGAGAUUAGUUGCCACAGGUGGAGUGCGAGAGCAGCAGAGUCAGCCAGCCUCACUUUCCCAGAAAAACUGUGAGUCUGAAUUUUGCUGCGAAAUCUUUGCUAUCUCACCAUUUGCAACCCAUUAAAUUAAAAAACUCAGGGCCAGACAAAAUAAGACUUUGUACACCACCCUCUGUUCUACCUCCACCGUGACCCUGAACAGUAAGCAGCACCCAUUUCUUAGUCAGACAGGUUGCCACCCGGCCUGGGCUCUCAAAGUGCUCCUUCCUGUGAAGUGAGGCAGGACACGAAGUGCCAGUGUCAGCGUGGGGUCACCAGCGAAGCCCCACCCCACAAGUUUCAGCAUCACAUCUCAGCUCUGCUGCCCACUCCCUUGGGCUGACACCAAUCCUGGCCUGGUGCCUGCGGUGGCCGGGACAAGGGGCAGCUGGCAGCAGGUGAAGAGAUGCCUUGCACUGGGCUGCCCAGGCCUUGCCAUUGCAGGCACAGGCCAGGCUUGGCCACCAUAAAGGCAGGCUCUCGCUUUGUCCCCUGCUCUGGGGAUGCGGUAGAACCCUGUCCUUCUCCCCUAGAGAAGCAGUCAGCUGUGUUCCAGUGGCUUUCUGUCCUUGUAAUUUAAAAGUACAUCUGCGAAGAGUAUGUAUUUGCUUUGUAUGUGUUGCAGCUGAGCUGACUGUGUUUUGACACACUAGUUCAAAAUAAGGUUGACCCUUUGGAGAACUUGGUAACACAGUUGACUCAGCUUCAGCUCGAGGGGCUCCACUGGAAACAGCUGGGCGCACUCACAUCACCACGCCUCCCGCCUGAAUGGGACCUCGGGCCUGGCCGAGGAAGCUUUGGGGAGAACAGUGCUGCUUUAGACGCAAGAGCCAGAGAAGCAAAGUGCUAGCCCAGGAGGAAGGUUUUGCUUCAAAAAUAGUUCCUUUGCUUAGCUUUUUAAAUUUUUUUUGAAAAUGAAGACACUAAAGGAACCAGGCAUACAUAAGACCAUGCAAGAGGAAGAAACAGUUAAAAGAACUCACUGGAACUCUGAGAACAGCCUCAGACUGGCUGUGUAUGAGAAAGUGAGGGGCUGAGUUUGUGUACUAGUACAGCACAGUUGUAGCUGUUUCAUAUUUUGCACCAUUUCAGGGCCAGACGUGGUAGUGCAGGACUGUAACCCCAGCACUCCAGAGGCUGAGGCAGAAGGAUCCGAGGCCAGCUUGGACUAUACAAUUGUAGUUCAAAGCCAGCCUGGACUACAUAGUGAGACCCCAUCUCAAAACAACAACAAAAAUUUGCUACCAUUCUCCUUACAACUGGGCUCCUGGUCCCUGGGCACUUUUCAGUGCCUCUCGUUUGGUAACUGGCAGGCCUCACUUUGUAUAGUUGGUUUUACACCCGCACCCUGCUGCCUUCCACUUCAGGCUGCAGCCUCUGGAGGGCAACGCCAGCACUGCACACAGCUGGUCCCCAGGACCUCACGCUCCAGGUGUGGACAGCAAGUCAAGAACCCCUUUCAUUUUAACGAAGUUGUGCCUGUUCAGCACUGUUUCGGGGGACUUAAAAGCCGCCGAGGGAGAAGGGAGAUCCCCCCUGUAUGCCAGAUUAGUUCAGGUCAGUCCCUGGACAGCACACCUCUGGGAAGAUGAAUGUCAUCUGUGAGGGGCCAGGUGAUAGGACUCUCACCGUCGGGCGGUGGGAAAGUCCUGGUAACUAGUUAGAAGCAGCACCAUGACUGAGGAUGCCUUGUGGAGUGGUGAGGCCGACUGGGCUGAACGCAUAUUUGGCCCGUGCCAUCCCCAUGCCAUCUUCAUACUUGCAAGCUCCAUGACUCUCUGACCCACCCCACCCUCAAGUAGCAGCGGGAAUAUCAAAGCCUCAUUGUGGAGCUAAUGAUUACAUUUCUGUUGACCCUCUCACAGAUCUGGGUGGGGUGCAGGCAAGUAUCUUUAGUUUCAGGCCUUGGUCAAAGCUAAAUGUGACAGGUGGAAUGGGUGGCCCCCCAGCAGGUUAAGGGGCUAUCUAACCCUAUGAAGCUAAGGUGCAGGAUGAGGGCCUCAGAGUUAAUACUGGUCCAUGUGAGUGAGGCUUCUCUGAGGCAGAGUGGCUUAGUAAAGGACCACUGGCUUAACAAAAGCGGAAAUCCCUGUCUCCUCUUUUUCUGCUAAUGGGAGUUAAUGUAUGGAAAGGACUAAGGGGAGUGCCAGGCUCAGAAAUCCUACUCACUAAUAUGUUAACCACUGAGUCAUGCUCUGGUUUGAAUACAGUUUGCCUCAUGUUAAAAUGUGGUCUCCAGAGUAACAGCAUGGAGAGGUGUUGGGAACAUUAACAGGUGAUUAGACUGCUAAGAGGGAUUAAUGCAGUUCUCGUGGGACUGGGUUAGUUACAGCAAGAACAGGCUGUUACACAGCAAGGCUGCCCCUUUCUUUUGCUCCUUCAUCCACCUCUUUGCUUUUCUGCUUUCCGCCAUGUUAUGACACAGUGUGAGGCCUAUAUAGAGCUGCCUGAUCUUGGACUUUAGCCUUUGGAACCACAGUUUAAUAAAAUUUCCUUUAUAAAUUUCCCAGUUUAGGUAUUCUAUUAGAGGAACAGAAAAUUCACUAAGACAAGGCAGUUUCUCACAGUGCUUAGGAGAUGCCUCUGGAGACAGCUUGUCUGGAUUCACCGCAUUGUCUCCAAAUCCCUGGGCACUUUCUCAUUUCAUUUACCUCAUCUGGCCAGAGAUGAUGGGUCACAGGGGUAAUCUGGCCACAGGUUUAAUGGUGCAGUUGUAGAGACUCAGGGUAGACCAGUACCUGUGUUUGUAAGAGCCACAUGGACCCACUAAGGCUAUUUUUACCCCCUUCGCUGCUUGCGGGGUUUAGUUUCAUGGAGCUCAUGUCUGGAGGGGGAAGCAGUCAUCCAUUGUGGCAGGCAGAGGUUGGGCCCACAGUGACUGGAAGCAUAGAAGGGUCUGUUUGGAGGCAGAGGUCAUGGGAAGCAGGGUCACGUCAGAGUCAAGCAGACAAGAGGAGGCUGAGACUUUCUGACUGCAACACCUCAAGCAAGGCACUUGACCUCUCUGAGCCAUGCCCCUCUGAGAACUGAUAAACCUACACUGCAGAUCUGUGGAGCAGAUGACAGGAGAUAAGAUCACAUAUGCAAGCACGCCUGGCAUGCACAGGCACUUGGCAUGUGCUUGGCUCCCUGUUCUUCACAGCAAAGGCCCCAAAGAAACCCACCAGCCAGUGACUGCAUUGAGCCCAGUGCACACACACUGGCAGAGCUGCCUCAGCUGACCAUGUAUGGGAUUCUCUUACAGCUUUUCUAGUGUUUUCUUUUUUUUUUUUUUUUGGUACUGGGAAUCGAACUCAUGACCUUGCACUUGCCAGGCAGGCAUUGUGCUGCUGAGCUAUAUCCCCAGCCCUCUAGUGUUUUCCUUUAUUGCUCCCUCCUAGAUUAUUUUUUCUGCUUUGGUGCUAGAGAUCCAACCCAGUGGCUGGGAAAAUGCUCUACCACUGAGCUACACCCCUGGGCCCUCAUGGAUGUUUAAGCAGCUCUGUGCUCUGACUCCCCCAGGUAAUUCCAUUUUCUUUGUCUUUCCACAGCACCUGGACAGUGUUCUCCUGGCAUGCAGGUUUGGCACUGUCAUAAUUUCUGAGCCUCCAAGUUCCCCUGAGUCCAGCAGUUCCUGCCCAGGGUGUGCCCCGGUGUGCUGAGUGGGGAGGCCUUUGCUGAGGGGAGCUGUGUGCACAACACAGCUAGAGUGACCUUGUCCUGGGAGCUGUCUCCCCUCAACAGGACACGAAGUGGAAUAAAGACCUAAACUGCAUCAUAAAAUGGGGCCAGGAAAAGACAGGCGAGGAGCUGAGUGGGAGCCAUAGGCAGGUCAGGGUAGGGGCCUCGGUAAACAGAAAUGUUAAACAAGGGCUCCUCCCUGCACCACUCUAAACCUCAUAGUGUGCAAAGUUUGGCUCCAGAGACCUCCCAGUGACCCCAAUCUAAUUCUCUCAACUGUCCCGCAAUGGCUGAGGCAGGAAGAUAAGCGGCCUCCUUGAACCAGCACCUUCGAAAUCCCAUCAGCCCCUCUGUGGGUACAGCUGAGCCCUGAGCAGGCUGGGUGAGGGUGGGGUGUGCACAGGAGGGAGGGGUGGAGCAGAUAAGAGCCUUUGGGCCAAGGCCUGCACACCUGGGAUUCUAGGAAGGUGGUGCAGCCAGGUCUCCAGGCUCAGAUGACCUGGGCUCCAGUGGAAACCAACUGGAAUUAUAAUUAGGAUAAAAUCCAGAGCUAAAGAAGCAACAGGACAAAGAAACUAAUCACCAGGGUGCAGAAGGAGGGCCCCAUCUCAGUGCUGCCUCCUGGCCAGCCUGUCCCCUCUUGUCUGCCUUUCCCUGGUCUCACCUGCAGUCCGCAGUCUCCAGCACCCAAGUGUGUAACAUUCCCUCCCGCUGUCAGCUCCACUUCUCCUCAUAGUCCUUUUGUCCGCUUUCCUUCCUGUCCCUUGGUUCUUCAGCUCACAGUCCCCCGUUACCCUGCUGUUCUCUGCAUUCCCCUUGCCUUUGUUCCCCACCUCUAAGCAGGCUGGGAGUGGUGAACCCAGGAUGGUUGCCUAGCAAUGAGGAAAGUAGGACAAACACCCACCAGCAGCCAGGGAGAAAGAGAGGGACCCAGGGAGGAGGAACUGGGGUCCCACUGGCUCCCUCACUACCAACAUGAGCUGGGCUCCUGUCCUGGGAAAAGUUCCAGAGCUUUGUCACCCAGCCCUGACUCAGGCCAUUCUUCUCAGCAGCCCCACAGGCAUUUCCCUUUUCCAAAUGACCAGCCCAUCCUGAGCCCCCAACAAGGCCAGGGCUGAGGAGGGGGCGCCUCAUCAGGCAUAGCUCUUCACUGCUUGUGAGCCAGGAAGUGAGACCUGGGACUCAUCAUACCCAGAGGAGGAGGAGGAGCCAGCCCUGCUCUGUGGGGGUGGCAGGGGGAGAGGGAAGUACACGGAAUGGGCCUGUGACCACUAGGCCUGGGAUUUAGGGAGCUGCAGGGAGGUCUAGAGGCUUUAGACCCAGGACUCAGACUGGAUUCUUUUCUCUUAGGCAAUGGAUACUUGGUAUGCAGGGAUGGCUCUUCUGGUGGGGAGGGAAAGAGACUCAGGGCUUGGAACCAAGUCAUGGCAAUGGAGACAGUGUGGCUCAAGACCUGGGACCAGAAGGAAAAGUCCAUGUGUACAGACGGCCUUUGGGCCUGGUGGGCUGGAUGCUCCAUCCAGUGCAAGGGUCAGGUGCUGAGUCUAAUGCCUUUGUCCUUCUCAGGGAAACCAUAGCAUCUGUGGCUGAAACAUCCAAGGCAGAGGCCCCAAGGUGGGAUGUACUGCCUUCUGCCAUCCCCCUACAGGCCCAAGAACUCUGAUGAGUACAGCAUGGCUGGAGGGCGACAUCUGGCAGUGUUCUCUGUAACCUGGUUGACCUCCUUUGCUGGGCUUCAGUAGAUUCAGGCAAUAGUUGAUUAUGAAAGAUAAGCAGAGACCAAAGCCCCAGAGAGUUGUGACCAGGCCCUUUCCUUUCCCUGAAGUGGCCUCAUUUUGCACCAUCUGGAGUCCAAGGUCAGUCCAGCUUUGCAAAGCCCAUCGCUCACAUGCAGACACAAAAUUCAGACCAGGCUGCAAUCUUAACUCGGGUUGAUGUCUAGCACAUACUUAAAUGUUCAUUCAGAAUCCUUAACAUGAUAGCUACACCUCUCCCAUUCUCCUUAGAAAUGCCAGAAUGCUGGCUUCUUCAAAGGCUCUCCAUGGCUCUGUCAAGCUGGGGCUUCCAACAGCCUCUCCGGUUCUCAGAAUGAAAGCACUCAAUACCCAUCCAAGGCGUCACAGAACUGGUAAUUAAUAGUGCCUUCUGGAGUUGGUAAACGUAUUUGGUAUCCAUUUCUUUUGUGCUAUGGCGCCAUUCCAGCUGCCCCCCUUAGAGUAGGAGGCAGAGGGGAGAUGGUAUCCAUGCACUCCCUGCUUGCAGACCCUCUUUGCAAGGAGACUCUAAGCCCACCACUCCCUAAGACCUGCCUUCGCAGGCUGGGCACAGUGUGCAAGGAAGGACUCAGAAUCUCGACCUACUAUGCAGAAUCAGGUGGGCCUGCAGCAGAGAGCUGUUUUCCCUCCCUCCCUCUCAGAAUUAUGCCUUUGGGAGAUGGAGUCUGAAUAAUGUUUAGUAUGGAAGAUGGUAUCUGCAUUUGGGGGAAGCAUGUUGAACAAAAGAUCCAAUGAGGUUAAGGUGCCCCCUGUGAAGCCCCCUUCCUGUUACCCUCCCUUGAGGUAGACCAUUACUGUCCUCUACCACUGAGACUGCAGACUGAUUAAGUGCCUCACCCAGUGACUGGAAACCUCUGCUACUGGUCUAUAUAACUCAAGGGCCUGGCCUUCAUUGUGUUCCCUCAUCUUCAUGUCUGAGGUCUCUGUACACUGAUUAGCGACCAAGAUGAAACCCAGUGCAGUAGCCAUCAGGCCCAGCACACAUUCCCUGAGCUCACGGCCAAGGGGAGUGUCACCCCCGCUCCCCUUUUUCCUUCUCUGGAAGAGAACUGAUUCUGGCCUUUUUCUGCCUGGCUGGCGAUGCCUUCCUACACAGAUUUCCCCUCUUACAGAGGUGUAGUACAGUGGGUCACCCAGUGUCUUCAGACCAUGAGCACCUGGGAGCUUGCUAGAACUACAAAUUCUCUGGCUCCAGCCCAGAGCUACUAACUCAGAAAUGCUGGAGGUGUGACCAAGCUACCUGUAUUUUAACAAGCCCUCCAAGGGACUCUGAUGCAUGCUCAAGUUUGAGAACAGCUGGGAUAGUAUGUUACCUAAGAGCCCCAAGUAGGAAGCCACAUUUAGUUUCUGAUCCAUACACAGCGAACAGGUCCAGGGGUACGUGCUUUGCAGCUAUAGAGCAUCUUCCCAAGGGUGGCAUGCCACCGACCUCCCACACUCCAGCUGUAACCAAGCAUAUGACCCCCAAGCCUAGACUUGAAAUCCACCAGUGGCUCUUCCUAAGCUCUUCUCUUCUAGGAGGUGCAGCAGAAAUUCAGAUGGCUCUAGGCAUUGUCAUGGCAACUGGGCCUUUCGGAGUCUGUGGGGCACCAGGAGCAGGGAGGAAGCAGUGUAGAAGUCUGCCAGUGGAUGAAGCACAACCAGAUGAGGUGGCUGUGAAAACAGAUGGAAGCUCAGGAUGGCUGUUACUGAUGCAUCUGGAUCCUCUCCAGGGGUCUUCAGAGCCAUAAACCAGCAACAACCCAGUCGUCCAGGACAGCAGGAUUUCCCCAGGGGCUUGGGGAUGCAGACAAUGCAUACUUCCCAAAAGAUUUUCUACCUAGGUUAAACCGGGGCCCUAAAUAGCCACAGCGGUUAAGAAGAAGGUGCAUGCGAUAGUAUGACCACCUGUUUCAGGUCAGGACUCAGGAAAGGGACUCAAGUUUCAAACUUUUGAUUGGAUCUUGCUCUGAAAGCAGAUCUCAAGUCAUCAGGCCCCCUGGAGUAAUAUGUGACAGUGGCUAUGUUAGCUCUAAAAGAAAUAAAUGGUCAACAAGAAUUUAUACACCAAAGGCAUGUACCAUGUCCUGAAUGCUGGCAUCAGUCACCCCUGUGGCCCUCUCCAUUCCUCCAUUGAUACCCUCCAGGUGCUGGUCAGCGUCAGUGGCCUCUCUUCUGGGGGACACAUUUCACCCCAGAGACAGGCAGAGAGCAAGGGAGCAUGCUAGACCGUCACUGGCCCUGCAGCCAGGGGAGCCCCCACAUGCACAGUGGCCACUCAGGGCCCAGGGGAUAUUGCCUGUGUGCCAUGCACACCUAGCUGCUCCAAGCACUUGGCUGCUUUGGAAACCAAAGAGCUGUUGGUGCUUUUUGUUCUGGAAGAAGGAAGUAGCUUAUGUGAGAAUAAGAGACAAUUCUGCCUUGUUCUCAAGGAAAGGUUACAAAGUGUGAGGAGUCAGAAUGUGUGUGUGGGGGGGAAGCAGUCACCCAACAGUGUCAUCUAAGACGCAUGCGCUACCUAACCUCACCUAAGUCCCCCAGGUGGGCACUGAGAGCCCCCAGAACUUUCCAGAUGGUGGUUGUGCUUACCCUUGUACUCCCUGGCACUCCAGCCAAGCUAUGAUCUCUCUUCCCAUGCGCGUGGGAUCCUUUCCCACAGCUUCUUUAGUUUGCCCAAGCCCCCGCUGGCUCUCCAGGUACUCAGCUCCUCCUCUCUGCCUGUGGACGAGGCCGGGCGUUUACCAGAGGCUCCUUGGAACUGCCCUUCCCACAGCAGAACAGAGGUUGGCUGUUGUGAACAUCUUUUCUUGCCCUCACAGAGCUGCAGCAACCCAGAUCCACCUUCUCACUCAGGUCCUAGGACUCAGGUAUUCCACAACUGCAGCCUUGACCUCCCUCAGAUAUGGGGUAACCAAGAAGGGACAGGCUGACAAGGCUGUAACAUCCGCCUUCUGUGCUGCCCUGUCUGCUCCUUUUCCAGGGCACCAGGGACUCUUUAUCUCUGCGAGGCCCCAUGUGGAGCUCAGUGGCCCUGCACACCUCAGAGGGGAAGGUCUGCAGCGGUGCGUGGAGGGUGUGGGAGAGCCAGCGGCAGGGCUUCUCACUUCAUUCCUGUCGCUGCCCUUUAUAAAUAUUUAUAGCAGCUCUUCGACUAAAAACAACAUCCCGGAGCCCAGGGAACAGAAAAAAAUAAAUGAAAAUCUCACGGGGAUUUGGACUUGAUCAUGUGUGCCCCAGUCGCAGGAACCCCAAGGACCCAGGCUGCUACAGAGCAGCACUCAGGGGAGCCCCCUAGUGCCCCGCCCCUCCUCCCAGCACAGCCGGAAGCUUCACCAGUUGAGGGAAAGGAAGGAGGCUAUUUUUAGCAUGGUGGCGGUGGAGAGGGUGUGAAUGACUGUAGAAGUGAGGAGGCCUGCAGCUUUCUUUGCAUAAACGGAAGAAGACCUGUUGGUUUUUAAAGG